UACGUAGGGACCGAGCGUUGUCCGGAAUCAUUGGGCGUAAAGAGCGUGUAGGCGGCCACUUAAGUCCUGCGUGAAAUCUUGCGGCUCAACCGCAAGCGGUCGUGGGAAACUGGGUGGCUAGAGUACUGGAGAGGAGACUGGAAUUUACGGUGUAGCAGUGAAAUGCGCAGAUAUCAGGAGGAACACCAAUUGCGAAGGCAGCUCGCUGGGACGUUACUGACGCUGAGACGCGAAAGCGUGGGGAGCAAACAGG
This 253-nucleotide ribosomal RNA is filed under the name uncultured bacterium. RNAcentral's name for it is "partial 16S ribosomal RNA". It matches the Rfam family "Bacterial small subunit ribosomal RNA", at positions 524 to 776 of the family's 1533-position model. The record is from RNAcentral.